This 1449-nucleotide ribosomal RNA is filed under the name uncultured Flavobacterium sp. Its description in RNAcentral is "16S ribosomal RNA". It matches the Rfam family "Bacterial small subunit ribosomal RNA". Lineage: Bacteria; Pseudomonadati; Bacteroidota; Flavobacteriia; Flavobacteriales; Flavobacteriaceae. The record is from RNAcentral.
GAUGAACGCUAGCGGCAGGCCUAACACAUGCAAGUCGAGGGGCGGCGCAAAGAUAGUUUACUAUUUUGGCGGCGACCGGCGCACGGGUGAGUAACGCGUAUGCAACCUACCUUAUACAGGAGUAUAGCCUGAAGAAAUUCGGAUUAAUCCUCCAUAGUAUUCUUUAAUGGCAUCAUUUGAAGAAUUAAAGCUUCGGCGGUAUAAGAUGGGCAUGCGUCCUAUUAGCUAGAUGGUAAGGUAACGGCUUACCAUGGCUACGAUAGGUAGGGGGCCUGAGAGGGUGAUCCCCCACACUGGUACUGAGACACGGACCAGACUCCUACGGGAGGCAGCAGUGAGGAAUAUUGGGCAAUGGGCGCAAGCCUGACCCAGCCAUGCCGCGUGCAGGAAGAAUGCCCUAUGGGUUGUAAACCGCUUUUAUUUAGGAAUAAACCCCUUUACGUGUAGAGGGCUGAAUGUACUAAACGAAUAAGCACCGGCUAACUCCGUGCCAGCAGCCGCGGUAAUACGGAGGGUGCAAGCGUUAUCCGGAAUCAUUGGGUUUAAAGGGUCCGCAGGCGGAUGUAUAAGUCAGUGGUGAAAUCCUGCAGCUUAACUGCAGAACUGCCAUUGAUACUGUACAUCUUGAAUUCGGUCGAAGUGGGCGGAAUGUGUAGUGUAGCGGUGAAAUGCAUAGAUAUUACACAGAACACCGAUAGCGAAGGCAGCUCACUAGGCCUGGAUUGACGCUCAGGGACGAAAGCGUGGGGAUCAAACAGGAUUAGAUACCCUGGUAGUCCACGCUGUAAACGAUGAUUACUCGUUUUCGGCGAUAUACAGUCGGAGACUAAGCGAAAGUGAUAAGUAAUCCACCUGGGGAGUACGAUCGCAAGGUUGAAACUCAAAGGAAUUGACGGGGGCCCGCACAAGCGGUGGAGCAUGUGGUUUAAUUCGAUGAUACGCGAGGAACCUUACCAGGGCUUAAAUGCAGAGCGAAUAGUUUGGAAACAGACUAGCCUUCGGGCGAUCUGCAAGGUGCUGCAUGGCUGUCGUCAGCUCGUGCCGUGAGGUGUUGGGCUAAGUCCCGCAACGAGCGCAACCCCUAUCUUUAGUUGCCAGCGAGUAAUGUCGGGGACUCUAAAGAAACUGCCUACGCAAGUAGAGAGGAAGGCGGGGACGACGUCAAGUCAUCACGGCCCUUACGUCCUGGGCCACACACGUGCUACAAUGGUCGGUACAGAGGGCAGCUACCGGGUGACCGGAUGCGAAUCUCUAAAGCCGAUCUCAGUUCGGAUUGGAGUCUGCAACUCGACUCUAUGAAGCUGGAAUCGCUAGUAAUCGCGCAUCAGCCAUGGCGCGGUGAAUACGUUCCCGGGCCUUGUACACACCGCCCGUCAAGCCAUGGAAGCUGGGGGUACCUGAAGUCGGUAACCGUAAGGAGCUGCCUAGGGUAAAACUAGUAACUGGGGC